RNAcentral lists this ribosomal RNA (468 nucleotides) under uncultured bacterium. Its description in RNAcentral is "partial 16S ribosomal RNA". It matches the Rfam family "Bacterial small subunit ribosomal RNA", at positions 28 to 507 of the family's 1533-position model. The record is from RNAcentral.
GACGAACGCUGGCGGCGUGCUUAACACAUGCAAGUCGAACGGAAAGGCCCUGCUUUUGUGGGGUGCUCGAGUGGCGAACGGGUGAGUAACACGCGAGUAACCUGCCCUUGACUUUGGGAUAACUUCAGGAAACUGGGGCUAAUACCGGAUAGGAGCUCCUGCUGCAUGGUGGGGGUUGGAAAGUUUCGGCGGUUGGGGAUGGACUCGCGGCUUAUCAGCUUGUUGGUGGGGUAGUGGCUUACCAAGGCUUUCACGGGUAGCCGGCCUGAGAGGGUGACCGGCCACAUUGGGACUGAGAUACGGCCCAGACUCCUACGGGAGGCAGCAGUGGGGAAUAUUGCACAAUGGGCGGAAGCCUGAUGCAGCAACGCCGCGUGCGGGAUGACGGCCUUCGGGUUGUAAACCGCUUUCGCCUGUGACGAAGCGUGAGUGACGGUAAUGGGUAAAGAAGCACCGGCUAACUACGUG